Molecule: ribosomal RNA, 234 nt
Filed under: uncultured bacterium
Lineage: Bacteria
Description: partial 16S ribosomal RNA
Rfam family: Bacterial small subunit ribosomal RNA
Source: RNAcentral
CGGGACGGGUGAGUAAUGUCUGGGAAACUAGCCUGAUGAGGGGGGAUAACUACUGGAAACGGUAGCUAAUACCGCAUAACGUCGCAAGACCAAAGUGGGGGACCUUCGGGCCUCUUGCCAUCGGAUGUGCCCAGAUGGGAUUAGCUAGUAGGUGGGGUAACGGCUCACCUAGGCGACGAUCCCUAGCUGGUCUGAGAGGAUGACCAGCCACACUGGAACUGAGACACGGUCCAG